CUGCGGAAGGAUCAUU
RNAcentral lists this non-coding RNA (16 nucleotides) under Tetradesmus obliquus. RNAcentral also lists the same sequence under 19 other names. The record is from RNAcentral. Lineage: Eukaryota; Viridiplantae; Chlorophyta; Chlorophyceae; Sphaeropleales; Scenedesmaceae.